GGGCCCGCACAAGCGGUGGAGUAUGUGGUUUAAUUCGAUGCAACGCGAAGAACCUUACCAGGGUUUGACAUCCUGCGAAUCUCUUGGAAACAGGAGAGUGCCUUCGGGAACGCAGUGACAGGUGGUGCAUGGCUGUCGUCAGCUCGUGUCGUGAGAUGUUGGGUUAAGUCCCGCAACGAGCGCAACCCACGUCUUUAGUUGCCAUCAUUUAGUUGGGCACUCUAAAGAGACUGCCGGUGAUAAGCCGGAGGAAGGUGGGGACGACGUCAAGUCCUCAUGGCCCUUACGGGAUGGGCUACACACGUGCUACAAUGGCAGUGACAAUGGGUUAAUCCCAAAAACUGUCUCAGUUCGGAUUGAGGUCUGAAACUCGACCUCAUGAAGUCGGAAUCGCUAGUAAUCGC
This 404-nucleotide ribosomal RNA is filed under the name uncultured bacterium. RNAcentral describes it as "bacterial SSU rRNA". It matches the Rfam family "Bacterial small subunit ribosomal RNA", at positions 917 to 1345 of the family's 1533-position model. The record is from RNAcentral.